This 294-nucleotide long non-coding RNA is filed under the name Gallus gallus (chicken). Its description in RNAcentral is "long non-coding RNA NONGGAT001406". Lineage: Eukaryota; Metazoa; Chordata; Aves; Galliformes; Phasianidae. The record is from RNAcentral.
GCCACAUUUCCUGCUUUAUUUUAAAAGGAGUCAGGGAUCUCUGUUAUGAUGUUGUGAAGCUGCACAUCACUCCGGUCAUGAAACCACCCGUGAGCUGUGUCUGAGAGUGACUGAUGUUCUGGUACACACAGUGACAUAUACCUGCGCAAGAACAAGGUCAAGUCCAAGAAAGUAAGUGGCUGCAGGCAUAUCUAGUGCCUACUGAAUCAUAUUUAAACCAAAUAGAGGGGAGGAGGUUAUUUGAAACUAACCAACUGUACCAUCUGUAUGGUGUAUUAUUAAUGUAGCUUUUUG